CCACUCUGGCUUCUCUUCAGCGCAUGAUUCUUUCGCCUUUUACUAAAGAAUUCCGUGGAGGGGAGCAUUUCAAUGAGUCUUUAACAAUUUUUCUUUACCCGAUUUCGGUCGGGCU
Ciona intestinalis (vase tunicate) is the source of this 115-nucleotide small nuclear RNA. Its record names the gene U5. It matches the Rfam family "U5 spliceosomal RNA". Rfam says of the family: U5 RNA is a component of both types of known spliceosome. The precise function of this molecule is unknown, though it is known that the 5' loop is required for splice site selection and p220 binding, and that both the 3' stem-loop and the Sm site are important for Sm protein binding and cap methylation. NCBI's taxonomy places the organism in Eukaryota, Metazoa, Chordata, Ascidiacea, Phlebobranchia, Cionidae. The record is from Ensembl.